Molecule: ribosomal RNA, 791 nt
Filed under: uncultured bacterium
Lineage: Bacteria
Description: bacterial SSU rRNA
Rfam family: Bacterial small subunit ribosomal RNA
Source: RNAcentral
UUAGUAUCGGACUGGUGAGUAACGUGUGGGAUACUUCCUAUGAGAGGGGGACAACAGUUAUAAAGUACUGAUAAUACCGCAUGAAGCAGCGUGGAGACAUGUCCUUGAUGUCAAAGAUUUAUCGAUGAAAGAUGGCCUAUUUUCUGAUUAGCUAGUUGGUGGUGUAACUGGACCACCAAGGCGACGAUCAGUAGCAGGAGUGAGAGGUUGACCGGCCACAUUGGGACUGAGAUAUGGCCUAGACUCCUACAGGAGGCAGCAGUGGGGAAUAGUGGGCAAUGGACGCAAGUCUGACCCAGCAACGCCGCGUGAAGGAAGAAGGCUUUCGGGUUGUAGAACUUCUUUUAACAGGGAAGAGAAGAAGACGGUACCUGUUGAAUAAGCCACGGCUAACUACGUGCCAGCAGCCGCGGUAAUACGUAGGUGGCAAGCGUUGUCCGGAUUUAUUGGGUGUAAAGGGCGUGUAGCCGGGAAGGCAAGUCAGAUGUGAAAUCUGGAGGCUCAACCUCCAAACUGCAUUUGAAACUGCUUUUCUUGAGUAUCGGAGAGGUAAUCGGAAUUCCUUGUGUAGCGGUGAAAUGCGUAGAUAUAAGGAAGAACACCAGUGGCGAAGGCGGAUUACUGGACGACAACUGACGGUGAGGCGCGAAAGCGUGGGGAGCAAACAGGAUUAGAUACCCUGGUAGUCCACGCUGUAAACGAUCAAUACUAGGUGUGCGGGGACUGACCCCCUGCGUGCCGCAGUUAACACAAUAAGUAUUGCACCUGGGGAGUACGAUCGCAAGGUGAAA